UAUGAAGUGUAAAUUGAAAUUAAAAUUGAAAUGUUGUUGGUGUUGCAUUUGUAGCUAUUUGAGCCAAAGUGCAAAGUACAAUGUUGUUGGAAAGAUUUGGGAAAUAAUUACUAUUUGUAGAGAUAUGCUGUUGUGUUGUCGCUCAAUGCCACCAAGACCAAUGAAUUUGUGCAUAAUCCUUGUCCGUGCGUACUAUUAUAGGGCUGAUAGAGAUUAGUUUUGGUGAACAAGUUCCAUCACUGUUAAAUCUUAUCAUACCUUAUUCUGGCAUAGCUUUAUUUCCAGUACAUUAGCUCUGAAUCUAAUUUCUGCUGAUACAAUCAACUUGAGUAACUUUGGUUUAAUAUCCUAUAUUGUUCAAUAAAUGUGGGAUGUAUGGCAGUGAACUAGCUGCUCUAGAAAAUUAUGGCCACAGAUGACAAUUGGCUUUAUUUUGAGAUUUUCAGAUCUUUCCAUUAGACUAAAAGUUUCUCAUAUUUUCUAAUUCUCAUGUGCUUGUACUGCAAUUCAACAAACCUCUAAGGCUGACUACUUUUGUAUUUUUAUUUUUUUCAAAUUUUUUUUGGCAGAAGCAGCUGAAAUUCCAUAUUCAGAUCAUCAACCAGUUGUUGGAAUUCUCCCCCAAGGUUGUCAAUUGCCGGAGUUAAGGGAGAUUUGCUAGAUACAAGAAAGUAGCAGCAGAGAUGGCGGGUGAUAAUAGGGGUAAGGCUAUUGCUAAAGCCCCGAAAAAGUCAAAGAAGAAGAAGGGUCUGUUUAUACCACCAGAGGUCGUAGUGCCAGGAACCUUUAGGAUUCCUGGCAGAGAUCGAUCUCCUCCCCCAUAUAUCCCGGGGAUGCUCGUAGGUCACAGCCUACCCACCGCCCCGACCUUCCCAUGGUAGACGACGUAUGUCACAGGCCAACGUAGUUCAUGGUCUUGUGGAUGAGGAUAGUGAGAAGGAUUCGGAUCAUGUCUCCAACACCCAACGUUGACUUUUUUGAUUCGUAUACUUUUGGAUUCUAAUUUUCCUAUGUUUUCUUGGAUAUGUAUAUGAUAUUUAAGUGUUUGAAUGUAGUUUUAAUUCGAAUUAGAAGUACUUUGAAGGUGAAUUUGAUUGUAGAAUGUAGUUUAUGGUUGUUUAAGUUUAUGAUGUUUAAGUGUUUCAAUCUAGUUGUAAUUUGAAUUAGAAGUACUUUAAAUUGAAAUUUGAGGUUAAAUUUGAUUGUAGAAUGUUGUAGUUUAUGAGUGUAGAAGUACUUUGAUGAA
This is a long non-coding RNA of Lycium ferocissimum, 1246 nucleotides long. RefSeq lists it as uncharacterized. Lineage: Eukaryota; Viridiplantae; Streptophyta; Magnoliopsida; Solanales; Solanaceae. The transcript has 3 exons. The record is from RefSeq and is a predicted model, not a curated record.